UAUCGAUAUGUGAAUACAUAGCAUAUCAGAAGGCACACCCGGAGAACUGAAACAUCUUAGUACCCGGAGGAAGAGAAAGAAAAUUCGAUUCCCUUAGUAGCGGCGAGCGAAACAGGAAGAGCCCAAACCAACAAGCUUGCUUGUUGGGGUUGUAGGACACUCUAUACGGAGUUACAAAGGACGACAUUAGACGAAUCAUCUGGAAAGAUGAAUCAAAGAAGGUAAUAAUCCUGUAGUCGAAAAUGUUGUCUCUCUUGAGUGGAUCCUGAGUACGACGGAGCACGUGAAAUUCUGUCGGAAUCUGGGAGGACCAUCUCCUAAGGCUAAAUACUCUCUAGUGACCGAUAGUGAACCAGUACCGUGAGGGAAAGGUGAAAAGCACCCCGGAAGGGGAGUGAAAUAGAACCUGAAACCGUGUGCUUACAAGUAGUCAGAGCCCGUUAAUGGGUGAUGGCGUGCCUUUUGUAGAAUGAACCGGCGAGUUACGAUUUGAUGCAAGGUUAAGCAGUAAAUGUGGAGCCGUAGCGAAAGCGAGUCUGAAUAGGGCGUUUAGUAUUUGGUCGUAGACCCGAAACCAGGUGAUCUACCCUUGGUCAGGUUGAAGUUCAGGUAACACUGAAUGGAGGACCGAACCGACUUACGUUGAAAAGUGAGCGGAUGAACUGAGGGUAGCGGAGAAAUUCCAAUCGAACCUGGAGAUAGCUGGUUCUCUCCGAAAUAGCUUUAGGGCUAGCCUCAAGUGAUGAUUAUUGGAGGUAGAGCACUGUUUGGACGAGGGGCCCCUCUCGGGUUACCGAAUUCAGACAAACUCCGAAUGCCAAUUAAUUUAACUUGGGAGUCAGAACAUGGGUGAUAAGGUCCGUGUUCGAAAGGGAAACAGCCCAGACCACCAGCUAAGGUCCCAAAAUAUAUGUUAAGUGGAAAAGGAUGUGGCGUUGCCCAGACAACUAGGAUGUUGGCUUAGAAGCAGCCAUCAUUUAAAGAGUGCGUAAUAGCUCACUAGUCGAGUGACACUGCGCCGAAAAUGUACCGGGGCUAAACAUAUUACCGAAGCUGUGGAUUGUCCUUUGGACAAUGGUAGGAGAGCGUUCUAAGGGCGUUGAAGCAUGAUCGUAAGGACAUGUGGAGCGCUUAGAAGUGAGAAUGCCGGUGUGAGUAGCGAAAGACGGGUGAGAAUCCCGUCCACCGAUUGACUAAGGUUUCCAGAGGAAGGCUCGUCCGCUCUGGGUUAGUCGGGUCCUAAGCUGAGGCCGACAGGCGUAGGCGAUGGAUAACAGGUUGAUAUUCCUGUACCACCUAUAAUCGUUUUA
Molecule: ribosomal RNA, 1310 nt
Filed under: Staphylococcus aureus
Lineage: Bacteria; Bacillati; Bacillota; Bacilli; Caryophanales; Staphylococcaceae
Description: partial 23S ribosomal RNA
Rfam family: Bacterial large subunit ribosomal RNA
Source: RNAcentral